RNAcentral lists this ribosomal RNA (554 nucleotides) under uncultured bacterium. RNAcentral's name for it is "bacterial SSU rRNA". It matches the Rfam family "Bacterial small subunit ribosomal RNA", at positions 102 to 674 of the family's 1533-position model. The record is from RNAcentral.
ACGGGUGAGUAACACGUAGGUAACCUACCCUUCAGUGGGGGACAACAGAGGGAAACUUCUGCUAAUACCGCAUACGAUCACGGACUGGGACGUUCGUGGUGAAAGGAUUUAUUCGCUGAGGGAUGGGCCUGCGGCCUAUCAGGUAGUUGGUGGGGUAAUGGCCUACCAAGCCUGCGACGGGUAGCCGGACUGAGAGGUCGAUCGGCCACACUGGAACUGAGACACGGUCCAGACUCCUACGGGAGGCAGCAGUGGGGAAUAUUGCACAAUGGGGGAAACCCUGAUGCAGCGACGCCGCGUGGAGGAUGACGGCCUUCGGGUUGUAAACUCCUUUUGUCGGGGACAAUGGUGAUGGUACCCGACGAAUAAGCCACGGCUAACUCUGUGCCAGCAGCCGCGGUAAGACAGAGGUGGCGAGCGUUGUUCGGAAUUACUGGGCUUAAAGGGCGCGUAGGCGGUGGUGUAAGUCUAGGGUGGAAUGCUACAGCUCAACUGUAGAGCUGCCUUGGAAACUGCAUUACUUGAGUCGGUGAGGGGAAGGUGGAAUUCCAGGU